UAUUAUCUAUUUUUUCCAAUUAAAUGCUAUUCUUAUGCUUUUCUUUAUUGACAAUUAAAUGCAUUAUUUCUUUCUGUAUAAUAUUGCUUAAAGUUCAAUUUUUAAAAUUUUUUUUUUAUUUUCAAAUUUCAUUUUACAAGCAGAUAUUCAUCAAAUUAAAUAAUAGUUCUCAUAGAUUUAUUGACUUCCAAAUUAAACAAUGCAACACAUGUAAAAUGUUACCAUCAAGGUUGGUCGUGCCGUACUAGAGCCCACACCAAUUGGCCGGCGACACGAUUUGGCAUACUCCUGUGCUGUGUUGUGCUGGGCAUGAACCGAUGCAGUAGAGAGAGAGCAAGGAAGAAGGAGAAUCAGAGAGAAACAGAGAAAGGGGGAAG
This 377-nucleotide long non-coding RNA is filed under the name Elaeis guineensis (African oil palm). RNAcentral's name for it is "long non-coding RNA (EGUI_LNC000281)". Lineage: Eukaryota; Viridiplantae; Streptophyta; Magnoliopsida; Arecales; Arecaceae. The record is from RNAcentral.